Molecule: unclassified non-coding RNA, 256 nt
Filed under: plant metagenome
Description: partial contains small subunit ribosomal RNA, internal transcribed spacer 1, and 5.8S ribosomal RNA
Rfam family: Eukaryotic small subunit ribosomal RNA (bases 1-54)
Source: RNAcentral
GGAAGUAAAAGUCGUGACAAGGUUUCCGUAGGUGAACCUGCGGAAGGAUCAUUAAAGUUAUAGUCCCCCGGCCCUCUGGGCUGGGGUCUUCUAUACCACCCUUUGUUUAUUACACCUUUGUUGCUUUGGCAGGCCUGCCCUCGGGCUGCUGGCUCCGGCCGGCUCGCGUCUGCCAGAGGACCUAAACUCUGUUUGUAUAUGAAGUCUGAGUACUAUAUAAUAGUUAAAACUUUCAACAACGGAUCUCUUGGUUCUG